CCUACGGGUGGCAGCAGUGGGGAAUAUUGGACAAUGGGCGAAAGCCUGAUCCAGCCAUGCCGCGUGUGUGAAGAAGGCCUUCGGGUUGUAAAGCACUUUCAGUGGGGAAGAAAGCCUUGGGGCUAAUACCCUCGAGGAAGGACAUCACCCACAGAAGAAGCACCGGCUAACUCCGUGCCAGCAGCCGCGGUAAUACGGAGGGUGCGAGCGUUAAUCGGAAUUACUGGGCGUAAAGCGCGCGUAGGCGGUCUGAUAAGCCGGUUGUGAAAGCCCCGGGCUCAACCUGGGAACGGCAUCCGGAACUGUCAGGCUAGAGUGCAGGAGAGGAAGGUAGAAUUCCCGGUGUAGCGGUGAAAUGCGUAGAGAUCGGAAGGAAUACCAGUGGCGAAGGCGGCCUUCUGGACUGACACUGACGCUGAGGUGCGAAAGCGUGGGUAGCAAACAGGAUUAGAUACCCCAGUAGUC
This 465-nucleotide ribosomal RNA is filed under the name Vreelandella stevensii. RNAcentral's name for it is "partial 16S ribosomal RNA". It matches the Rfam family "Bacterial small subunit ribosomal RNA", at positions 338 to 795 of the family's 1533-position model. Lineage: Bacteria; Pseudomonadati; Pseudomonadota; Gammaproteobacteria; Oceanospirillales; Halomonadaceae. The record is from RNAcentral.